This 253-nucleotide ribosomal RNA is filed under the name uncultured bacterium. RNAcentral describes it as "partial 16S ribosomal RNA". It matches the Rfam family "Bacterial small subunit ribosomal RNA", at positions 524 to 776 of the family's 1533-position model. The record is from RNAcentral.
UACGUAGGGGGCAAGCGUUGUCCGGAUUUAUUGGGUGUAAAGAGCGUGUAGGCGGCCUGACAGGUCUGCUGUGAAAACUCGAGGCUCAACCUCGAGAUGUCGGCGGAAACCGUCUGGCUAGAGUCCGGAAGAGGAGAGUGGAAUUCCUGGUGUAGCGGUGAAAUGCGCAGAUAUCAGGAAGAACACCUAUGGCGAAGGCAGCUCUCUGGGACGGUACUGACGCUGAGACGCGAAAGCGUGGGGAGCGAACAGG